UACGUAGGCAGCAAGCGUUGUUCGGAAUUACUGGGCGUAAAGCGCGUGUAGGCGGCCCUGCAAGUCGGAUGUGAAAUCCCACGGCUCAACCGUGGAAGUGCAUUCGAAACUGCAGGGCUAGAGUCCUGGAGAGGAAGGUGGAAUGCUUGGUGUAGAGGUGAAAUUCGUAGAUAUCAAGCGGAACACCGGUGGCGAAGGCGGCCUUCUGGACAGUGACUGACGCUGAGACGCGAAAGCGUGGGGAGCAAACAGG
RNAcentral lists this ribosomal RNA (253 nucleotides) under uncultured bacterium. RNAcentral's name for it is "partial 16S ribosomal RNA". It matches the Rfam family "Bacterial small subunit ribosomal RNA", at positions 524 to 776 of the family's 1533-position model. The record is from RNAcentral.